AGAGUUUGAUCAUGGCUCAGGACGAACGCUGGCGGCGUGCUUAACACAUGCAAGUCGAACGAUGAACCGCUUUCGGGCGGGGAUUAGUGGCGAACGGGUGAGUAACACGUGGGCAAUCUGCCCUGCACUCUGGGACAAGCCCUGGAAACGGGGUCUAAUACCGGAUAUGACCGUCUGCCGCAUGGUGGAUGGUGUAAAGCUCCGGCGGUGCAGGAUGAGCCCGCGGCCUAUCAGCUUGUUGGUGAGGUAGUGGCUCACCAAGGCGACGACGGGUAGCCGGCCUGAGAGGGCGACCGGCCACACUGGGACUGAGACACGGCCCAGACUCCUACGGGAGGCAGCAGUGGGGAAUAUUGCACAAUGGGCGAAAGCCUGAUGCAGCGACGCCGCGUGAGGGAUGACGGCCUUCGGGUUGUAAACCUCUUUCAGCAGGGAAGAAGCGAAAGUGACGGUACCUGCAGAAGAAGCGCCGGCUAACUACGUGCCAGCAGCCGCGGUAAUAC
RNAcentral lists this ribosomal RNA (503 nucleotides) under uncultured bacterium. RNAcentral describes it as "bacterial SSU rRNA". It matches the Rfam family "Bacterial small subunit ribosomal RNA", at positions 8 to 526 of the family's 1533-position model. The record is from RNAcentral.